UCAACGCUGGCGGCGUGCCUAACACAUGCAAGUCGAACGAUGAAGUGAGCUUGCUCCACGGACUAGUGGCGAACGGGUGAGUAACACGUGAAUAACCUGCCCUCAAUUUCGGAAUAACCCAGGGAAACCUGGGCUAAUACCGGAUACGUAAACCUGUGGCAUCACAUGGUUUUGGAAAGUUUUUCGAUUGAGGAUGGAUUCGCGGCCUAUCAGCUUGUUGGUGAGGUAAUGGCUCACCAAGGCGACGACGGGUAGCCGGCCUGAGAGGGUGAACGGCCACACUGGGACUGAGACACGGCCCAGACUCCUACGGGAGGCAGCAGUGGGGAAUAUUGCGCAAUGGACGAAAGUCUGACGCAGCGACGCCUCGUGAGGGACGAAGGUCUUCGGAUUGUAAACCCCUUUCAGCAGGGACGAAGCGAAAGUGACGGUACCUGCAGAAGAAGCACCGGCUAACUAUGUGCUAGCAGCCACGGUAAUCUGAUG
Molecule: ribosomal RNA, 486 nt
Filed under: uncultured bacterium
Lineage: Bacteria
Description: bacterial SSU rRNA
Rfam family: Bacterial small subunit ribosomal RNA
Source: RNAcentral